RNAcentral lists this ribosomal RNA (254 nucleotides) under uncultured bacterium. RNAcentral's name for it is "partial 16S ribosomal RNA". It matches the Rfam family "Bacterial small subunit ribosomal RNA", at positions 524 to 776 of the family's 1533-position model. The record is from RNAcentral.
CACGUAGGGGGCAAGCGUUGUCCGGAUUUAUUGGACGUAAAGAGCUCGUAGGUGGUUCGAUAAGUCGGGUGUGAAACCUCCAGGCUCAACCUGGAGACGCCACCCGAUACUGUCGUGACUAGAGUCCAGUAGGGGAGCGUGGAAUUCCUGGUGUAGCGGUGAGAUGCGCAGAUAUCAGGAGGAACACCAGCGGCGAAGGCGGCGCUCUGGGCUGGCACUGACACUGAGGAGCGAAAGCGUGGGUAGCAAACAGG